This 431-nucleotide long non-coding RNA is filed under the name Gossypium raimondii (Peruvian cotton). RNAcentral describes it as "long non-coding RNA (GRAI_LNC008461)". The record is from RNAcentral. Lineage: Eukaryota; Viridiplantae; Streptophyta; Magnoliopsida; Malvales; Malvaceae.
CCUCACACAUGAUCCUGAAAAUGGAACUAACGUGUUAGUGAAACGAUUUUUGCAAGAUCCUUGUCUAAAAAGGGAGUCAAACGUACGCUUAAAAUAAGAAAUUUGAGUAGAAAAACAAUUUCAACCAAAGAACAAAAACACCCAAAAACUCACAAAAACAAAAAGAAUUUACGACAGAACUUACACAGAAAUCCUCCAACGAUACAACAAACAACGUAAGACCUCAACUGGUCCCAGUAGCUACUUUACAGAUGUAAUUAAAAAGAAAAAUAAAAAAAUUAAGAACAAGAAAAAAAAGAAGAAAGAAAAGAAAGAAAGGAGAAUGGAAAAAGGGAAAGUGUGAGAGAGAAACGUUAAAUUCUAUUUUAACUACCAAUAAGAUUUCUCACAUUCAGCAAAAAUAUUCCUUAACGCAUACAUCGGGACUCGAG